CUUGAUUCACCUUCUGUUUUGAGUAAACUUGCGACACCUACUCCUGUUAUUGAUUCUGAUAUGUCGCAUGUUAUUGAUGAUGCCACUUCUGCUUUGCAUGAUACUUAUGAUGAAACUACUUCUAUGCUUGAUAAUACUGUGCCAUUAGGUGAAUUUCUUGAUGAACAACUUGCUAGGGUUAGAGAAAAUGAAAUUAUUGAAACUGAUAAUAUUGAUGAAAAUGAUGUUGAAGAUUCUCCCCCUAGAUAUGAAUUGCCUGAUGUGCCUGAGGUUUAUGUUAUGGAUGAAGAAACAGCUACAGACCUUUUUGCUUACAAACACAGAUAUGAUCUUAAGAAACUGUUAGCUAAGCUGAAAGAAAAG
RNAcentral lists this ribosomal RNA (363 nucleotides) under Triticum aestivum (bread wheat). RNAcentral's name for it is "partial small subunit ribosomal RNA". The record is from RNAcentral. Lineage: Eukaryota; Viridiplantae; Streptophyta; Magnoliopsida; Poales; Poaceae.